This 573-nucleotide ribosomal RNA is filed under the name Taphrina mirabilis. Its description in RNAcentral is "eukaryotic LSU rRNA". It matches the Rfam family "Eukaryotic large subunit ribosomal RNA", at positions 62 to 648 of the family's 3401-position model. The record is from RNAcentral. Lineage: Eukaryota; Fungi; Ascomycota; Taphrinomycetes; Taphrinales; Taphrinaceae.
AAACUAACUAGGAUGCCUUCAGUAACGGCGAGCGAAGCAGGCAUAGCUCAAAUUUGUAAUCUGGCGCCUUUGGCGUCCGAGUUGUAUUUUCUAGAAGCGAGUUCGGCGACAGCUCCUACCCAAGUCCGUUGGAACGCGGCAUCAUGGAGGGUGAGAAUCCCGUGAAUGGUAGGAUGUCUGCUGCUAUGUGAACCGCCUUCGAAGAGUCGAGUUGUUUGGGAAUGCAGCUCUAAAUGGGAGGUAAAUUUCUUCUAAAGCUAAAUAUUGGCCAGAGACCGAUAGCGAACAAGUAGAGUGAUCGAAAGAUGAAAAGAACUUUGAAAAGAGAGUUAAACAGUACGUGAAAUUGUUGAAAGGGAAGCGCUUGAGAUCAGACUUCCUGUCUGGACUGUCCUUGCUUUUGCUUGGGUCAACAGUCCAGGCGUGGAGGCCAGCAUCAGUUUUGACGGCCGGAUAAAGGCCUUGGGAAGGUAGCUCCUCUCGGGGAGUGUUAUAGCCCAGGGUGUAAUACGGCCAGUUGGGACUGAGGACCGCGGCUUUGCCUAGGAUGCUGGCGUAAUGGUCUUAAGCGAC